This 301-nucleotide ribosomal RNA is filed under the name uncultured bacterium. RNAcentral describes it as "partial 16S ribosomal RNA". It matches the Rfam family "Bacterial small subunit ribosomal RNA", at positions 509 to 807 of the family's 1533-position model. The record is from RNAcentral.
CAGUCGCCGCGGGAAUACGAAGGGUGCAAGCGUUACUCGGAAUUACUGGGCGUAAAGCGUGUGUAGGUGGUUGUUUAAGUCUGUCGUGAAAGCCCUGGGCUCAACCUGGGAAUUGCGAUGGAUACUGGGCGACUAGAGUGCGGUUGAGGAUAGUGGAAUUUCCGGUGUAGCAGUGAAAUGCGUAGAGAUCGGAAGGAACAUCUGUGGCGAAGGCGACUAUCUGGGACAACACUGACGCUGAGGCACGAAAGCGUGGGGAGCAAACAGGAUUAGAUACCCCCGUAGUCCCUGUCUCUUAUAC